Molecule: ribosomal RNA, 186 nt
Filed under: Triticum aestivum (bread wheat)
Lineage: Eukaryota; Viridiplantae; Streptophyta; Magnoliopsida; Poales; Poaceae
Description: partial small subunit ribosomal RNA
Source: RNAcentral
AUGGACUCGCUCCUGCAAGACCGGAGAGGCCUCUCGUACGCCAGCUCCUCUGUGAGAAAUGAUUCAGUAAGAAGGAAACCCGCCACGUCCUCCCCUGACUACAGCCGCCGGCCUCCCGCAACCUACCCAGGCUGCGUCGCUGUCGAAGAAGGAACUAUGGGAUCUCAUUCAGGAUUCAGAGUUUGA